GACAGAGGGUGCGAACGUUGUUCGGAAUUACUGGGCGUAAAGCGCGUGUAGGCGGCAACGCAAGUCGGGCGUGAAAGCCCCGGGCUCAACCCGGGAACUGCGUCCGAUACUGGCAGGCUUGAAUCCGGGAGAGGGAUGUGGAAUUCCAGGUGUAGCGGUGAAAUGCGUAGAUAUCUGGAGGAACACCGGUGGCGAAGGCGGCACCCUGGACCGGUAUUGACGCUGAGGCGCGAAAGCCAGGGGAGCAAACGGG
This 253-nucleotide ribosomal RNA is filed under the name uncultured bacterium. RNAcentral's name for it is "partial 16S ribosomal RNA". It matches the Rfam family "Bacterial small subunit ribosomal RNA", at positions 524 to 776 of the family's 1533-position model. The record is from RNAcentral.